AGAUGUUAAAAGCAAGAGACAUGGGAGAGCAUCAUUCCUUUGAGAUUUUAUAAAUCAAACCAAGUUUGGAGUUGUCUUGUCUGAUUUGGAGAGUCAUCAUUCUUGGUCUUCGCUCUUAGAGGCCACUGAUGAAGAACAGGCGGUGACUGGGAUGAAUCCUGGUCAGAGAGGAUAAUCUUCUUUCCCCUAAACUGAUGCAGCGGUGGUUUUAAAGGAGGACGCUGCCCUGGAUGAUGUAGAAGAUGUCACAUGCUGUGCUGAUGGGGUUUCUUCAUGAUUACAUCAGUUAUGCUAAAGAGAUCAUGAAAAUUGACCGUGAUGCAUGAUCUGUAUUCAUGGACUAUGAAACAAACUGUAAGUGUAUAAUUUGUUAAAAAAAAAAAAAGUUAAAUGCUUUUUCUGUGUUGUUUAGUAGAAGAGUUUACACUCUGUCAUUCAUACACCUGCUCACAUUCUUUCACACACACACACACGCGUCUGUUAAAUGUUAUAAUAUCAAAGUUAAUGUUGUGAUUUAUUUGUGUACUGUCAUGCCAGAAUAGUUGGAAAAAAACCUAAUUCAGUUCUAUUCAUCAAAUGUUCAAUGCUUUGUUUAUGAACUCUGUAGCUUUUAAUGCCAUCCUUUUCUGCAUUUCUUCUAACAUGUUACUUUUUGACUUUUCUCUUGUUUUUAAUAAAUAUUUUCCUUUUGAUAAUUAUUAUUUGUGUGUAAAAGUGAUAUUUAAAAUGAACAACAUUUGUAGGUUUAAUGCCUAGCUCAAUUUGGGUUAAUUUUAACGUAGAAAUGCAUUGUUUC
Long non-coding RNA from Carassius gibelio (silver crucian carp), 796 nucleotides. RefSeq lists it as uncharacterized. The record is from RefSeq and is a predicted model, not a curated record. Lineage: Eukaryota; Metazoa; Chordata; Actinopteri; Cypriniformes; Cyprinidae. The transcript is spliced from 3 exons.